Podarcis lilfordi (Lilford's wall lizard) is the source of this 70-nucleotide non-coding RNA. NCBI's taxonomy places the organism in Eukaryota, Metazoa, Chordata, Lepidosauria, Squamata, Lacertidae. The record is from the annotation of a GenBank genome assembly.
GGAUAGCUCAGUUGGUUAGAGCAUGGUGCUGACAUUGCCGAAGUUGCAGGUUAGAUCCCUAUAAGGGACA